UUAAGAAUCUUGCGCAAUGGGCGAAAGCCUGACGCAGCGACGCCGCGUGGACGAUGAAGGCCUUCGGGUUGUAAAGUCCGAUAAGCAGGGAAGAAUAAGUGUGGGGAAAUAUUCCACAUGAUGACGGUACCUGCCUAAAGCCCCGGCUAACUACGUGCCAGCAGCCGCGGUAAUACGUAUGGGGCGAGCGUUGUUCGGAAUUAUUGGGCGUAAAGGGCGUUUAGGCGGGGAAUUAAGUUAGGUGUGAAAUCCAUGGGCUCAACCCAUGAAUUGCAUUUAAAACUGAUUCUCUUGAGUUCGGGAGAGGAGAGCGGAAUUCCAGGUGUAGCGGUGAAAUGCGUAGAUAUCUGGAAGAACACCAGUGGCGAAGGCGGCUCUCUGGCCUAGAACUGACGCUGAAGCGCGAAAGCGUGGGGAGCGAACA
RNAcentral lists this ribosomal RNA (424 nucleotides) under uncultured prokaryote. RNAcentral's name for it is "bacterial SSU rRNA". It matches the Rfam family "Bacterial small subunit ribosomal RNA", at positions 355 to 774 of the family's 1533-position model. The record is from RNAcentral.